Non-coding RNA from Pantherophis guttatus, 475 nucleotides. The record is from the annotation of a RefSeq genome assembly. Lineage: Eukaryota; Metazoa; Chordata; Lepidosauria; Squamata; Colubridae.
AUAUUUGCAUGGAUCUUUCUUCACUUCUAGAAAGACUUAAGAAAGAAGGCGGAAGGAUCCCAAGUAGAUAUUCCUUGGUUUUAGGAAGGGAGACCUUUUGAAGGAAAGCACCAUGGCCUGGACACUGGUUUUCUUUUCACUCCUCAGUUACUUCUCAUGCGCCACUUCACAGCCCACCUUGACUCAGCCAGCCUCUCAGUCUGGAUCUCCAGGAGGGACAAUUAAACUUUCCUGUGCCAUUAGCAGCAAUCCAUACUACGUUGGCUGGAUUCAACAGAGAUCUGGGGAAGCUCCUCGCUUUGUGCACUAUGAUAGCGGCAGCAGAGGAGAAGGGAUCCCAGACCGAUUCACGGCAACCCGGUCAGGCAACAACGGCUACUUAACCAUCACCAACCUUCAGGCUGAAGAUGAGGCUGAUUAUUAUUGUAACAUGUGGUAUAGCAGUGGAAACGUGUUCCACAGUGAGACAAUCUAA